AGAUUCGAAAUGAUUGGAGGCCAAGCAAGGGGAAACAGCAACGCGGAGUAGAAGAUUUGAUCGGUUUGAGGCGCAUCAGGACCCGGUAGCGGCUGUUGACUAGUCCAGUUGUAGACUUUUCUCGGAUUUGGCAAGACUGCCUUUGGCCAUUUCAAAGCUGUAGCAGCAUCUUCACAAGUGCAAAAAUUG
Long non-coding RNA from Nicotiana attenuata, 189 nucleotides. RefSeq lists it as uncharacterized. The record is from RefSeq and is a predicted model, not a curated record. NCBI's taxonomy places the organism in Eukaryota, Viridiplantae, Streptophyta, Magnoliopsida, Solanales, Solanaceae. The transcript is spliced from 3 exons.